This 77-nucleotide transfer RNA is filed under the name Actinomycetes bacterium. RNAcentral's name for it is "tRNA-Pro". It matches the Rfam family "tRNA". From Rfam's summary of the family: Transfer RNA (tRNA) molecules are approximately 80 nucleotides in length. Their secondary structure includes four short double-helical elements and three loops (D, anti-codon, and T loops). The record is from RNAcentral. Lineage: Bacteria; Bacillati; Actinomycetota; Actinomycetes.
CGGGGUGUGGCGCAGUCUGGUAGCGCACAUGGCUGGGGGUCAUGUGGUCGCCCGUUCAAAUCGGGUCACCCCGACCA